Molecule: ribosomal RNA, 252 nt
Filed under: uncultured bacterium
Lineage: Bacteria
Description: partial 16S ribosomal RNA
Rfam family: Bacterial small subunit ribosomal RNA
Source: RNAcentral
UACGGGGGGGGCAAGCGUUGUUCGGAAUUACUGGGCGUAAAGGCGCGUAGGCGGCCUUCUAAGUCAGACGUGAAAUCCCUCGGCUCAACCGAGGAACUGCGUCUGAUACUGGAAGGCUUGAAUCCGGGAGAGGGAUGUGGAAUUCCAGGUGUAGCGGUGAAAUGCGUAGAUAUCUGGAGGAACACCGGUGGCGAAGGCGGCAUCCUGGACCGGUAUUGACGCUGAGGCGCGAAAGCAUGGGGAGCGAACAGG